This 246-nucleotide ribosomal RNA is filed under the name uncultured bacterium. Its description in RNAcentral is "partial small subunit ribosomal RNA". It matches the Rfam family "Bacterial small subunit ribosomal RNA", at positions 26 to 286 of the family's 1533-position model. The record is from RNAcentral.
AGAAUCAACGCUGGCGGCGUGCCUAACACAUGCAAGUCGAACGAGAAAGUGGAGCAAUCCACGAGUAAAGUGGCGCACGGGUGAGUAACACGUGACUAACCUACCCUUGAGUGGGGAAUAACUUCGGGAAACCGAGGCUAAUACCGCAUAACACCUACGGGUCAAAGGAGCAAUUCGCUUAAGGAGGGGGUCGCGGCAGAUUAGUUAGUUGGCGGGGUAAUGGCCCACCAAGACGGUGAUCUGUAU